This 421-nucleotide ribosomal RNA is filed under the name uncultured bacterium. RNAcentral describes it as "partial 16S ribosomal RNA". It matches the Rfam family "Bacterial small subunit ribosomal RNA", at positions 359 to 773 of the family's 1533-position model. The record is from RNAcentral.
AUUAUGGGACAAUGGGGGCAACCCUGAUCCAGUCAUCCCGCGUGUGUGAAGAGAGCCUUCCGAUUGUAAAGUACUGUAACCUGGGAGGACUGGCUUUAGGGUAAUACACUGAAGUUUUGACGUUACCAACAGAACAAGCACCGGCUAACUCUGUGCCAGCAGCCGCGGUAAUACAGAGGGUGCAAGCGUGAAACGGAAGUACUGGGCGUAAAGCGCGCGUAGGUGGUUCAGUAAGAUGGGUGUGAAAUCCCCGGGCUUAACCUGGGAACUGCUUUCAUAACUGCUGAGCUAGAGUACGGUAGAGGGUAGUGGAAUUUCCUGUGUAGCGGUGAAAUGCGUAGAUAUAGGAAGGAACACCAGUGGCGAAGGCGACUACCUGGACUGAUACUGACACUGAGAUGCGAAAGCGUGGGGAGCAAAC